This 773-nucleotide ribosomal RNA is filed under the name uncultured CFB group bacterium kpj11rc. Its description in RNAcentral is "bacterial SSU rRNA". It matches the Rfam family "Bacterial small subunit ribosomal RNA", at positions 713 to 1500 of the family's 1533-position model. The record is from RNAcentral. Lineage: Bacteria; Pseudomonadati; Bacteroidota.
UUGCGAGGCAGCUUACUUACAUGUACUGACCGCUGAGGGACGAAAGCGUGGGAGCGAACAGAUUAGAUACCUUGGUAGUCCACGCCGUAAACCGAUCAUCACUCGCUGUUGGCGAUAUACAGUCAGCGGCCAAGCGAAAGUAUUAAGUGAUGCACCUGGGGAGUACGCCGGCACCGGUGAAACUCAAAGGAAUUGACGGGGGCCCGCACAAGCGGUGGAGCAUGUGGUUUAAUUCGAUGAUACGCGAGGAACCUUACCAGGGCUUAAAUGUAGUUUGACCGGUCUGGAAACAGACUUUCUCUUCGGAGCAGAUUACAAGGUGCUGCAUGGUUGUCGUCAGCUCGUGCCGUGAGGUGUUAGGUUAAGUCCUGCAACGAGCGCAACCCCUAUUCUUAGUUGCCAGCGGUUCGGCCGGGGACUCUAAGAAGACUGCCAGCGCAAGCUGAGAGGAAGGUGGGGAUGACGUCAAAUCAUCAUGCCCCUUAUGUCUUGGGCUUCACGCAUGCUACAAUGGCCGGUACAGAGGGCAGCAAUACCGCAAGGUGGAGCGAAUCCCAGAAAGCCGGUCUCAGUUCGGAUUGAGGUCUGCAACUCGACCUCAUGAAGUCGGAGUCGCUAGUAAUCGCGAAUCAGCAAUGACGCGGUGAAUACGUUCCCGGGCCUUGUACACACCGCCCGUCAAGCCAUGGAAGUUGGGGGUACCUGAAGUCCGUCACCGAAAGGAGCGGCCUAGGGUAAAACCGAUAACUAGGGCUAAGUCGUAACAAGGUAAC